UGGAAAGGGUAUCCUUGCUGCUGAUGAAUCUACUGGAACCAUUGGAAAGCGUCUCUCGAGCAUCAAUGUCGAGAAUGUAGAAUCAAACAGGAGGGCUCUCCGUGAGCUUCUCUUUUGCACCCCUGGUUGUCUUCAGUACCUUAGCGGUGUGAUCUUGUUCGAGGAGACACUUUACCAGAAGACUGCUGCUGGCAAGCCUUUCGUUGAAGUCAUGAAGGAAGCUGGAGUCCUUCCUGGUAUUAAGGUUGACAAGGGUACCGUUGAACUCCCCGGGACCGAUGGUGAGACCACCACUCAAGGUCUUGAUGGUCUCGCAGAACGUUGCCAGAAGUACUACGAGGCUGGUGCUAGGUUCGCCAAAUGGCGUGCUGUGUUGAAGAUUGGUGCCAAUGAGCCAUCUCAGCUCGCCAUCAAUGAUAACGCCAAUGGCCUUGCCAGAUACGCCAUUAUUUGCCAGCAGAAUGGUCUUGUACCCAUUGUUGAGCCCGAGAUCCUUGUCGAUGGAGCCCAUGACAUUAAAAAGUGCGCUGAUGUUACCGAGCGCGUUCUUGCUGCUUGCUACAAGGCUCUCAAUGACCACCAUGUCCUCCUUGAAGGUACCUUGUUGAAGCCUAACAUGGUCACUCCUGGUUCUGAAUCUCCCAAGGUUGCACCAGAAGUGAUCGCUGAGUACACCGUCCGUGCUUUGCAACGCACAAUGCCACCCGCUGUUCCCGCUGUGGUGUUCCUGUCUGGUGGUCAGAGUGAAGAGGAAGCCACCGUCAACCUCAACGCCAUGAACAAGCUUCAAACCAAGAAGCCAUGGUCGCUUUCCUUUUCCUUUGGACGUGCUCUUCAGCAG
RNAcentral lists this unclassified non-coding RNA (841 nucleotides) under Hevea brasiliensis (rubber tree). The record is from RNAcentral. Lineage: Eukaryota; Viridiplantae; Streptophyta; Magnoliopsida; Malpighiales; Euphorbiaceae.